RNAcentral lists this ribosomal RNA (628 nucleotides) under Mycobacterium sp. Se2Pt_386. Its description in RNAcentral is "bacterial SSU rRNA". It matches the Rfam family "Bacterial small subunit ribosomal RNA", at positions 387 to 1027 of the family's 1533-position model. The record is from RNAcentral. Lineage: Bacteria; Bacillati; Actinomycetota; Actinomycetes; Mycobacteriales; Mycobacteriaceae.
UGCAGCGACGCCGCGUGAGGGAUGACGGCCUUCGGGUUGUAAACCUCUUUCAGCAGGGACGAAGCGCAAGUGACGGUACCUGUAGAAGAAGCACCGGCCAACUACGUGCCAGCAGCCGCGGUAAUACGUAGGGUGCGAGCGUUGUCCGGAAUUACUGGGCGUAAAGAGCUCGUAGGUGGUUUGUCGCGUUGUUCGUGAAAACUCACAGCUCAACUGUGGGCGUGCGGGCGAUACGGGCAGACUUGAGUACUGCAGGGGAGACUGGAAUUCCUGGUGUAGCGGUGGAAUGCGCAGAUAUCAGGAGGAACACCGGUGGCGAAGGCGGGUCUCUGGGCAGUAACUGACGCUGAGGAGCGAAAGCGUGGGGAGCGAACAGGAUUAGAUACCCUGGUAGUCCACGCCGUAAACGGUGGGUACUAGGUGUGGGUUUCCUUCCUUGGGAUCCGUGCCGUAGCUAACGCAUUAAGUACCCCGCCUGGGGAGUACGGCCGCAAGGCUAAAACUCAAAGAAAUUGACGGGGGCCCGCACAAGCGGCGGAGCAUGUGGAUUAAUUCGAUGCAACGCGAAGAACCUUACCUGGGUUUGACAUGCACAGGACGCCGGCAGAGAUGUCGGUUCCCUUGUGGC